UGGGGAAUAUUGCACAAUGGGGGAAACCCUGAUGCAGCAACGCCGCGUGAAGGAAGAAGGUUUUCGGAUCGUAAACUUCUAUCGAUGGGGAAGAAUAAAUGACGGUACCCAAGUAAGAAGCCCCGGCUAACUACGUGCCAGCAGCCGCGGUAAUACGUAGGGGGCAAGCGUUAUCCGGAAUUACUGGGUGUAAAGGGUGAGUAGGUUGGCUUGUAAGUCAUAUGUGAAAUACCGAUGCUUAACAUCGGGGCUGCAUAAGAAACUACAAGUCUAGAGUACAGGAGAGGUAAGCGGAAUUCCUAGUGUAGCGGUGAAAUGCGUAGAUAUUAGGAAGAACACCAGUGGCGAAGGCGGCUUACUGGACUGAAACUGACACUGAGUCACGAAAGCGUGGGGAGCA
This 400-nucleotide ribosomal RNA is filed under the name uncultured bacterium. Its description in RNAcentral is "bacterial SSU rRNA". It matches the Rfam family "Bacterial small subunit ribosomal RNA", at positions 355 to 770 of the family's 1533-position model. The record is from RNAcentral.